GGAGCCUGGGUCAGGGCUGUAGCUAGACGCUGGAUAAAAGGCCAGGAAGAGGCCUAGAGAAUCCUGAGGAUGGAACCUGAGCUGGCCUGUCUGAAGGAAGCCUAAGGAGAGCUGAUAAAGUUACCCCUGGGAACUGGCAUAACUGCUAUUUAGAAAUGGGAAAACUAAUUCUGCGAACUUAUGCAUAUGCAUUACUCAUAGCUGCUAAGCAUGAACAGCCCUUUUUGACUUCACCAGAAGUUGUGGAUGCAUAGCACCUCUUAAAACUGGGCCAGAAGAAUCUCUCUGAAUCUCUCUGAAGGCCAAAAAAACCCAAC
Molecule: long non-coding RNA, 317 nt
Organism: Mauremys mutica (yellowpond turtle)
Lineage: Eukaryota; Metazoa; Chordata; Testudines; Geoemydidae
Exons: 3
Source: RefSeq, a predicted model, not a curated record